RNAcentral lists this ribosomal RNA (522 nucleotides) under uncultured eukaryote. Its description in RNAcentral is "SSU rRNA". It matches the Rfam family "Archaeal small subunit ribosomal RNA", at positions 943 to 1472 of the family's 1478-position model. The record is from RNAcentral.
AUAUAUGAAGGCCAGGUGAUGACCUUGCUUAUUUUCCGAGAGGUGGUGCAUGCCGGUCGUCAGUUCGUACCGUAGGCGUUCUGUUAAGUCAGCAACGAACGAGACCCUCAUCUUUAGUUGCAACUGGUAAGUUCGCUUACUAGGCACACUAGAGAAACCGCUGGCGAUAAGUCAGAGAAGGCGAGGGCAACGGUAGGUCAGUAUGCCCUGAAUCCCCCGGGCUACACGCGCGCUACAAAGGCUAGGACAAUGGGUUUCGACACCGAAAGGUGAAGGUAAUCCCGAAACCUAGUCAUAGUUCGGAUUGAGGGUUGUAACUCACCCUCAUGAAGUUGGAAUCCGUAGUAAUCGCGGAUCAACAUUCCGCGGUGAAUACGCCCCUGCUCCCUGCACACACCGCCCGUCAAGCCACGCGAAUUGGGUCUGAGUGAGGAUACAGCUAGUUGCUGCGUUCAAACUUAGGCUUAGUGAGCGGGGCUAAGUCGUAACAAGGUAUCCGUAGGUGAACCUGCAGAAGGAUCA